Molecule: long non-coding RNA, 376 nt
Filed under: Hordeum vulgare
Lineage: Eukaryota; Viridiplantae; Streptophyta; Magnoliopsida; Poales; Poaceae
Description: long non-coding RNA (HVUL_LNC015325)
Source: RNAcentral
UUUAUACAUGUGUCCAUAGUUGAUGUAUGAACAACAUGCAGGGUAGACAAAAAAAUCGAAAGUAAAUCCCACUGCUGAACAAAUGAACAUACGGUAGCAGGACUGCAAGUGGCAUCGGUGAGAGCAUGUACAUAAGCAACAAGUGGCAUGGUCAUUUGGCCAAACAUGUACAACCUGUAUGUGUCAGUUGAGUUUAGAAGCACCUACUAUCAAUAUCCCCCGCUGUUCUAUGAUCCCAACAAUGUGGAAGCGGACUUAACAUUAUCACAGAAGGCGCCACCAGAAUCACAAAUUGGAACGGGGCAACCACAGACCAACCUUAACACACUUGUAACAUGCACGGGAUGAGGUUGCUGAAGAUCUGAAGUAUGUUAAG